Molecule: small nucleolar RNA, 133 nt
Organism: Sorex fumeus (smoky shrew)
Lineage: Eukaryota; Metazoa; Chordata; Mammalia; Eulipotyphla; Soricidae
Product: small nucleolar RNA SNORA70
Exons: 1
Source: RefSeq, a predicted model, not a curated record
UUGCUGUAGAUCAUGCAGAUCUUGCUCAUUUCCUCUUGUGGUUCUAGGUGCAAUAUCUGCAAACACAAGCCUCCAAAGAAGGGUUUGAGGCCUGUUUCUUGUAUUGACUUCCCUAAGGAACUUGAAUACAAAA